ACUGCUAUAACAUGCCAUAGGGCGAUAGCUCUGAGCUGCACUGCAGGUCAUCCCGCUCUUGGCGUGGUGCCGUGCUGGCAGCGGGCUAGCCUGGGACUCCGGCACCAUGUCAACUUUUAACAAGAAUGCUUUUGCUUCUCGGUUCAUGUCUACUGUAUAGGAUGUUGCUUCUUUUCUGAUGUGUGUCCCAAUGAUAUACUGAUGGCAGAUCUGUUCUUAGUCAGGAGUCAGUCUGAUACCUUGAACUGACUUGCAGAAAAAUAACCACACAUAUGAAGGAGCAUAAAAACUGCCCAGGUGAAACUGUACUGCAGUUCUAAAAGCC
Molecule: long non-coding RNA, 325 nt
Filed under: Cyanistes caeruleus (blue tit)
Lineage: Eukaryota; Metazoa; Chordata; Aves; Passeriformes; Paridae
Description: lncRNA (ENSCCEG00000021118.1)
Source: RNAcentral